Molecule: long non-coding RNA, 262 nt
Filed under: Gossypium barbadense (sea-island cotton)
Lineage: Eukaryota; Viridiplantae; Streptophyta; Magnoliopsida; Malvales; Malvaceae
Description: long non-coding RNA (GBAR_LNC006771)
Source: RNAcentral
AAAUCUUUAAGCCAAAAUUGAGCAUUUAGUUUACUUUAAAUCCUAAACUCUAAAUUUUAAGCCCUAAAUCUAAAAUCCUAAACAUGAUUUUAUUUAAAAUGUUUUUGCAAUCAUUUGCCUAUUUAUUGUUUACAAAAUUUUGUUGAUAGAUCAAGCUUGGAGAUGGAUCUUAUAGAAAGGUGAAAUGAGUUAGAAUAUUAUCAAGUUCUAGCAAAACAAAUGUGAUGUUGGGAGCUUAAGUCAAUACAAUGGCUUUAUUUAA